This 311-nucleotide ribosomal RNA is filed under the name uncultured Russula. RNAcentral's name for it is "eukaryotic LSU rRNA". Lineage: Eukaryota; Fungi; Basidiomycota; Agaricomycetes; Russulales; Russulaceae. The record is from RNAcentral.
AACGCACCUUGUGCCUCUUGGAGUUCCGAGGGGCACGCCCGUUUGAGUGUCAUGAACAUCCUUCAACCUUUCUUGGUUUCUCAAUCAAGGAAGGCUUGGACUUUGGGGGUUUUUCAUUGCUGCCUCUGUUGAAGCCAGCUCCUCCUAAAUGGAUUAGUAGGGUCUGCUUUGCCCGAUCCUUGACGUGAUAAGAUGUUUCUACGUCUUGGGUUUAGCACUGUCGCUUUGGACCCUGCUUCUAACCGUCUUGCAUUCAGGACAGUGUCAUGAACCUUGACCUCAAAUCGGGUGAGACUACCCGCUGAACUUAA